Molecule: non-coding RNA, 68 nt
Organism: Rattus norvegicus (Norway rat)
Lineage: Eukaryota; Metazoa; Chordata; Mammalia; Rodentia; Muridae
Source: Rfam
GGAGAUUUAGCUCAGUGGUAGAGCGCUUGCCUAGCAAGCGAAGGCCAUGGGUUCAGUCCCCAGCUCCG